Molecule: long non-coding RNA, 776 nt
Filed under: Erythranthe guttata (spotted monkey flower)
Lineage: Eukaryota; Viridiplantae; Streptophyta; Magnoliopsida; Lamiales; Phrymaceae
Description: long non-coding RNA (EGUT_LNC003862)
Source: RNAcentral
GCAAAUACCCCCCUAUGAAAAUUAGUCAAAGGCAAUAAGGCCCCUGCUAUCCAAACGUGUGUAGCACGCGCGGAAUGUGCGAAUGGGUGAGUAUUUUUUACGCAAAAAGACUCAAAUACCCUUUAAAUUAGAAAUUUAAAAAAUUAUAAAUUCACCCCAUAAUUUUAAUCAGGCCCAAAAUGAAGUUUUCAAAAUUUUCAAUUCAAUCCCCAAUAUUUGUAAAAAGCCAUCUUCCCCAAUCAACCCAAAACCACACCCCAAAAUCAGACCCCAACCCAAAAUGUAACUCUUCAUCGCUCCUAUUGGAGAUAUUGACAGCUCCUCUCAUCCCGUCACUUUCCUCAGGCAUGGCCCUCUUCAGUCUUCUCUUCCCCUGGGUUUCUUAAUCUAUGCCGGCUGCGCAUUCUCGAUCCCCGCCUCCAUCGCAUCCUCAGUCGUCGUCCAUUCCCCCCAUCCCUUCCUAGGACCGCGCAAUACUCCGCCUAUUCUCCUCAUCCCGCUUGACGAGCUAUUUCCCUCCUCGUCUGCACCAACGACCUCGCCGGAGUUAGGGCUAACAUUUUCGGAAAAACGAGCAAGAAGAGCAGAUUUCUUCCUGCUUUUUAUUUUUUUUUAAUUUUAUUUUUUAUUUCUACUUUCUGAUUUUGUGCAGAUGAACAAAAAAGAAAAGGACUCAACUGUUCUGAUUUUUUUCUUCAAGGGUAGUUCAUUGAAUUGAUUUUUGGAUUUUUUGGAUUCAGAAUUUGGGGUUUGAGAAUUGAGAUGUUGGGUAAUGG